CCCGCUCAGAAACUACAAAGGAAUUGACGGGGCCCCGGCACAAGCGGUGGAGCAUGUGGUUUAAUUCGAUGAUACGCGAGGAACCUUACCUGGGCUCAAAUGUAUGUUGACGUAUUCUGAAAGGGAUACUUCUUCGGACAAUAUACAAGGUGCUGCAUGGUUGUCGUCAGCUCGUGCCGUGAGGUGUCGGGUUAAGUCCCAUAACGAGCGCAACCCCUAUCAUUAGUUGCCAUCAGGUCAAGCUGGGGACUCUAAUGAAACUGCCUACGCAAGUAGUGAGGAAGGUGGGGAUGACGUCAAAUCAGCACGGCCCUUACGUCCUGGGCUACACACGUGCUACAAUGGCCGGUACAGAGCGCAGCGAGGCCGCGAGGCGGAGCGAAUCGCUUAAAGCCGGUCCCAGUACGGAUUGGAGUCUGCAACCCGACUCCAUGAAGUUGGAAUCGCUAGUAAUCGCGCAUCAGCAUGGCGCGGUGAAUACGUUCCCGGGCCUU
Molecule: ribosomal RNA, 494 nt
Filed under: uncultured Sphingobacteriales bacterium
Lineage: Bacteria; Pseudomonadati; Bacteroidota; Sphingobacteriia; Sphingobacteriales
Description: bacterial SSU rRNA
Rfam family: Bacterial small subunit ribosomal RNA
Source: RNAcentral